Molecule: ribosomal RNA, 515 nt
Filed under: uncultured bacterium
Lineage: Bacteria
Description: partial 16S ribosomal RNA
Rfam family: Bacterial small subunit ribosomal RNA
Source: RNAcentral
GAUGAACGCUGGCGGCGUGCCUAAUACAUGCAAGUCGAGCGAAUGGAUUGAGAGCUUGCUCUUAUGAAGUUAGCGGCGGACGGGUGAGUAACACGUGGGUAACCUGCCCAUAAGACUGGGAUAACUCCGGGAAACCGGGGCUAAUACCGGAUAACAUUUUGAACCGCAUGGUUCGAAAUUGAAAGGCGGCUUCGGCUGUCACUUAUGGAUGGACCCGCGUCGCAUUAGCUAGUUGGUGAGGUAACGGCUCACCAAGGCAACGAUGCGGAGCCGGCCUGAGAGGGUGUUCGGCCACACUGGGACUGGGACACGGCCCAGACUCCUACGGGAGGGAGCAGUAGGGAAUCUUCCGCAAUGGACGGAAGCCUGACGGAGCAACGCCGCGUGAGUGAGGAAGGCUUUCGGGUCGUAAAACUCUGUUGUUAGGGAAGAACAAGUGCUAGUUGAAUAAGCUGGCACCUUGACGGUACCUAACCAGAAAGCCACGGCUAACUACGUGCCAGCCGCCGCGGUAA